This 561-nucleotide ribosomal RNA is filed under the name uncultured Tannerella sp. RNAcentral's name for it is "bacterial SSU rRNA". It matches the Rfam family "Bacterial small subunit ribosomal RNA", at positions 97 to 655 of the family's 1533-position model. The record is from RNAcentral. Lineage: Bacteria; Pseudomonadati; Bacteroidota; Bacteroidia; Bacteroidales; Tannerellaceae.
GGCGCACGGGUGAGUAACGCGUAUGUAACCUGCCCGCAACAGGGGGAUAACCCGGCGAAAGUCGGACUAAUACCGCAUAAAACAGGGGUCCCGCAUGGGAAUAUUUGUUAAAGAUUUAUCGGUUGCGGAUGGGCAUGCGUACCAUUAGGUAGUUGGUGAGGUAACGGCUCACCAAGCCUUCGAUGGUUAGGGGUUCUGAGAGGAAGGUCCCCCACACUGGUACUGAGACACGGACCAGACUCCUACGGGAGGCAGCAGUGAGGAAUAUUGGUCAAUGGGCGAGAGCCUGAACCAGCCAAGUCGCGUGAAGGAUGACUGCCCUAUGGGUUGUAAACUUCUUUUACAAGGGAAUAAAAUGAGAUACGUGUAUUUUAUUGCAUGUACCUUGGGAAUAAGCAUCGGCUAACUCCGUGCCAGCAGCCGCGGUAAUACGGAGGAUGCGAGCGUUAUCCGGAUUUAUUGGGUUUAAAGGGUGCGUAGGUGGGCUGUUAAGUCAGCGGUGAAAGUUUGUCGCUUAACGAUAAAAUUGCCGUUGAAACUGGUAGUCUUGAGUAUAAAUGA